RNAcentral lists this ribosomal RNA (650 nucleotides) under uncultured bacterium. Its description in RNAcentral is "bacterial SSU rRNA". The stretch from base 1 to 542 matches the Rfam family "Bacterial small subunit ribosomal RNA", at positions 338 to 873 of the family's 1533-position model. The record is from RNAcentral.
CCUACGGGAGGCAGCAGUAAGGAAUAUUGGUCAAUGGACGCAAGUCUGAACCAGCCAUGCCGCGUGCAGGAUGACUGCCCUAUGGGUUGUAAACUGCUUUUGUACGGGAAGAAACCCCUUUACGUGUAGAGGGUUGACGGUACCGUAAGAAUAAGGAUCGGCUAACUCCGUGCCAGCAGCCGCGGUAAUACGGAGGAUCCAAGCGUUAUCCGGAUUUAUUGGGUUUAAAGGGUGCGUAGGCGGCCUAUUAAGUCAGUGGUGAAAGCCUGGAGCUUAACUCCAGAACUGCCAUUGAUACUGAUGGGCUUGAGUAUAGUUGAGGUGGGCGGAAUGCGUCAUGUAGCGGUGAAAUGCUUAGAUAUGACACAGAACACCGAUUGCGAAGGCAGCUCGCUAAACUAUAACUGACGCUGAGGCACGAAAGCGUGGGUAGCAAACAGGAUUAGAUACCCUGGUAGUCCACGCCCUAAACGUUGAUUACUCGAUGUGUGCGAUACACUAGUACGCGUCUAAGACGAAAGACAUUAAAGUUAAAUACCACCGUCGGGGAGGGUAACGGGUCGGCGAAGAACGUAGAAACGUUAACAAAUUAAGAAGUUAGUACGGGCGUUGAGACGNGCCGAACGGACGACGACGAGGGGAAGGAGGAG